This 484-nucleotide ribosomal RNA is filed under the name uncultured bacterium. RNAcentral's name for it is "partial 16S ribosomal RNA". It matches the Rfam family "Bacterial small subunit ribosomal RNA", at positions 30 to 507 of the family's 1533-position model. The record is from RNAcentral.
AUUGAACGCUAGCGGGAUGCUUUGCACAUGCAAGUCGAACGGCAGCGCGGACUUCGGUCUGGCGGCGAGUGGCGAACGGGUGAGUAAUGUAUCGGAACGUGCCCAGUAGCGGGGGAUAACUACGCGAAAGCGUAGCUAAUACCGCAUACGCCCUACGGGGGAAAGCAGGGGAUCGUAAGACCUUGCACUAUUGGAGCGGCCGAUAUCGGAUUAGCUAGUUGGUGAGGUAACGGCUCACCAAGGCGACGAUCCGUAGCUGGUUUGAGAGGACGACCAGCCACACUGGGACUGAGACACGGCCCAGACUCCUACGGGAGGCAGCAGUGGGGAAUUUUGGACAAUGGGGGCAACCUUGAUCCAGCCAUCCCGCGUGUGCGAUGAAGGCCUUCGGGUUGUAAAGCACUUUUGGCAGGAAAGAAACGUCGCGGGCUAAUACCCCGUGGAACUGACGGUACCUGCAGAAUAAGCACCGGCUAACUACGUG